Molecule: long non-coding RNA, 357 nt
Filed under: Daphnia pulicaria
Lineage: Eukaryota; Metazoa; Arthropoda; Branchiopoda; Diplostraca; Daphniidae
Description: uncharacterized LOC124312173
Source: RNAcentral
AGCAGGCCAUCAAGGUAGAGCCAUCCAGUUGAAACGGACGGUCAACAGACCAUCAAGGAGGAGAAGUGGCAAUCCGGUGUGGGAAGUAGAGAUAAACAGUAGGGAUCGAUCAAGAGGGGGGCCAAUGGACUUCAUGGUGCUUUAUCCAGUGUUGAGUUGAGGCAUGAGAACUUCCAUAUCAGUCACGGAAAUGAAAACGGACCUCAAAAAUUACAGGUGUCAGCAGGCCAUCAAGGUAGAGCCAUCCAGUUGAAACGGACGGUCAACAGACCAUCAAGGAGGAGAAGUGGCAAUCCGGUGUGGGAAGUAGAGAUAAACAGUAGGGAUCGAUCAAGAGGGGGGCCAAUGAGCUUCAUG